This 253-nucleotide ribosomal RNA is filed under the name uncultured bacterium. Its description in RNAcentral is "partial 16S ribosomal RNA". It matches the Rfam family "Bacterial small subunit ribosomal RNA", at positions 524 to 776 of the family's 1533-position model. The record is from RNAcentral.
UACGAAGGGGGCUAGCGUUGUUCGGAAUCACUGGGCGUAAAGCGCACGUAGGCGGAUCUUUAAGUCAGGGGUGAAAUCCCGAGGCUCAACCUCGGAACUGCCCUUGAUACUGGGGAUCUCGAGUCCGGGAGAGGUGAGUGGAACUGCGAGUGUAGAGGUGAAAUUCGUAGAUAUUCGCAAGAACACCAGUGGCGAAGGCGGCUCACUGGCCCGGAACUGACGCUGAGGUGCGAAAGCGUGGGGAGCAAACAGG